RNAcentral lists this ribosomal RNA (492 nucleotides) under uncultured bacterium. Its description in RNAcentral is "partial 16S ribosomal RNA". It matches the Rfam family "Bacterial small subunit ribosomal RNA", at positions 28 to 507 of the family's 1533-position model. The record is from RNAcentral.
GAUGAACGCUAGCUACAGGCUUAACACAUGCAAGUCGAGGGGAAACGGCAUCGAAAGCUUGCUUUUGAUGGGCGUCGACCGGCGCACGGGUGAGUAACGCGUAUCCAACCUGCCCAUCACUUGGGAAUAACCUUGCGAAAGUAAGACUAAUGCCCAAUGACAUCCCACGAAGGCAUCCGAAUGGGAUUAAAGAUUUAUCGGUGAUGGAUGGGGAUGCGUCUGAUUAGCUUGUUGGCGGGGUGACGGCCCACCAAGGCACCGAUCAGUAGGGGUUCUGAGAGGAAGGUCCCCCACAUUGGAACUGAGACACGGUCCAAACUCCUACGGGAGGCAGCAGUGAGGAAUAUUGGUCAAUGGGCGAGAGCCUAAACCAGCCAAGUAGCGUGCAGGAUGACUGCGCUAUGAGUUGUAAACUGCUUUUAUAAGGGAAUAAAGUGGGUCACGUGUGACUUAUUGCAUGUACCUUAUGAAUAAGGACCGGCUAAUUCCGUG